This 379-nucleotide ribosomal RNA is filed under the name uncultured Bacteroidota bacterium. Its description in RNAcentral is "bacterial SSU rRNA". It matches the Rfam family "Bacterial small subunit ribosomal RNA", at positions 521 to 896 of the family's 1533-position model. Lineage: Bacteria; Pseudomonadati; Bacteroidota. The record is from RNAcentral.
UAAUACGGAGGAUCCAAGCGUUAUCCGGAAUUAUUGGGUUUAAAGGGUCCGCAGGCUGUUUGUUAAGUCAGGGGUGAAAUCCUACCGCUCAACGGUAGAACUGCCUUUGAUACUGGCAAACUUGAGUUAUUGUGAAGUAGUUAGAAUGUGUAGUGUAGCGGUGAAAUGCAUAGAUAUUACACAGAAUACCAAUUGCGAAGGCAGAUUACUAACAAUUAACUGACGCUGAGGGACGAAAGCGUGGGUAGCGAACAGGAUUAGAUACCCUGGUAGUCCACGCCGUAAACGAUGGUCACUAGCUGUUCGAUGUACAUUGGUACAUUGAGUGGCUAAGCGAAAGUGAUAAGUGACCCACCUGGGGAGUACGCUCGCAAGAGUG